Molecule: RNA transcript, 3314 nt
Organism: Rosa rugosa (rugosa rose)
Lineage: Eukaryota; Viridiplantae; Streptophyta; Magnoliopsida; Rosales; Rosaceae
Exons: 6
Source: RefSeq, a predicted model, not a curated record
CAAAACAUCAUUCUAAUUUCAUAAACUAUUCAGUCAUUUCAUUACCAACAUACUCAUUGCAAUCAGAUACAAUGAAGAAGAGGACGAAUCAAUUUUUGUUUCUUUUGGAAAAGGUACAUAGGAAGAUCUUGAUUAGUAACAUUGAUUAGAAUAAAUUGAAUGUCUUUACUUUAAUAGUGAUUGAUUUCCGAAAUCCAAAUAAUCGUCAUUUUGGUUGAGUUUUGUCUGUUUACCUUGAUAGUGAUUGAUUCAAAUUAGAAUAAUUGAAUACCUUUACCUUGAUAAUGAUUGAUUUCUGAAAUCAGAAUAAUAGUGGUUUUGAUUGAGUUUUCUGUCGUUACCUAGAUAACGAUUGAUUCAAUUAUUGAUAUCUGAAAUCUGGUUUGAUUUUGUAAUCUUUCCUCUAAUCUAACCUCAUAUCUACUUAGGCAGGUUGAGGGAUUAUUUGGGGUAUGUGUAAAAUGGGUUUGCUUGAACAAGAGGUUUGCUUCUGUUGUUUUUGUUUUAGGGAUUAAUUUGUGCCUUUUUUGGUGGGUUUUGCUCUGGAAAUUUAUCUGCUAAUGGAAGGCAUUUACUUUUACUGAGCUGGAGGUUAGACGAUUGUGGGUUCUCUGUGAAAUUUUAAAGAGUUGAUUGGUGAUGAUUGGUUUGAUGCAAAGAUUAGCAGAAUUAUAGGAAAUGUGAAGGAAGAAAUAGGUUCUGCGGCUUUGAUUUUUUGUUUCACUGUUGACCUUUUCAGAUCCGAAAAGGAGUUCGGGUAAAACCCAAAUAAAAUUGUAGUUGAUUUGAUCACCAAUCUUUGCACGGGAGCAGUUAGGAUUACCUGCAAUUAGUUCAUUGUUUAUUUGAGUGGUCAAUAACAAUCAGUUAGGAACAUUUGGUUUUCUUAUGAAUCUUGAUGUUGGAUAUGAACACAAAGAAAGAAGAAGAAAAGCUACGUCUGGGAAUUAGAUCCAUUUCAGUUUUCAAACACUGCCUCUCCAUGACUUAAUAAGCAAUUCUAUAUAUAUAUAAAAAGAUCUGCCAAGUCCUGAAAACUAGAGUCGAUGUGUGGUCAUUUUUCUUUUAGUUCUUGCUAAUAGUUUUUUUCCAAGUGUUGUGUAAGUUAACUACGACUAAAGUGAUCCAUGAAAUUUGAACUGUUAAUCACUUAUUUUUUGUUGGGGGUUAUAGGUUGUCCAUUUUUUGUAUAUAUGUUGAUUCAUGACUUGGUAAUUACUCAACAAGUAUGGUAACUGGGGUAAGGUGAACAUAUAUAUAAUCAGGAAGCUAGCUAUACUUAAUACUCAAUUGGCACCUUAAUAUGGCAUAUUUUCUCUCCUAUCAUCAACCAUUUUGCUAGGUUGGUACACAAGUAAUUGGAAACUUGAAUAACACAAGAUAACUAUAUACAAAAGCCUUUGGGUUCCCCUUGACAACGUCAAAAAAAAAAAAAAAACUAUAUACAAAAGCCAAGGUGUUUUCUUUGAUAUAAUUUCUCUGCUUCUUUAUCAUAGAUCUUUAUAAAUUCUCAUAUAGGACUUUAGUUAUGCAUCUUUUCACAUGGAAGUCAGAUAUCACCAGAUAUCUGAGGGAUUGGGAAUAUGAAACAAACUUACUCCUCUGCUGCGUCUUCUUCUGCUUUACCAUGCAUGAUACUGUGUAUAUGAAUUCAUGAUGAUAUCAUUCUGUAGUGGAAGAUGAUUGUCUUACGAUUAUGAGACCCCUGUUUCGUUAUACCAACACUAUUGUUUUUUUUUUUUUUUUUUUUUUUUUUUGAGAAUGAAAGAGAAUACAUGUGGAGCAAGUUUUGAUAGUACAAUGGAUUAUUUGAUACACAGACUUCUUGGCCUUAAUGAUGCGCGCCGACCUCAACUGCUGCUAAAGGGUUCAGCUGGGCAUUUGCUAGAUGUGUGUAUGAAGAAUGUGGGAUUAGGUGAUUUAAAGCCAUGCAAAGGCUACCAUUUCCCUCAAGGACUGAGAAAGCUUUUCUAAAGAGCCCAAAGUAUUCUUGAGGUAGCUAAAACCUUGGAGUUGGUGAGAAUGAGAUCAAUUGUAAUUUCAUAAAGAGUGAAAGCAUUUGUUGCAUGUGUUUCAUAUUACUACUAAAGAGGAGAAUAAUCUCAUUAAUGAUGCAAUAGCUAAAGAUAUUAAACAGGUAAAUAUUUCUCAUCAAAUUUUGUUUUACAGUGUUUCAUAUUACUACUAAAGAGGAGAAUAAUCUCAUUAAUGAUGCAAUAGCUAAAGAUAUUAAACAGAACCCUAGCCUCCUCCAAAAAAACUCGGACUCUGCGUCUAGGUUUUUUGCAACUUCCUUCUCGUCUGGCGACGCUUGAGAUCGGCGUUGGCUUUUUGCCAUGCCGGUCUUAGGUGGCUGUCGGGCGGGGAAUUGAAAACUAUCUCCUGGGUAGUCCCAUGGGUGGGGUGACGUUCAAGUUUCUGAGUGGAAUGGGCGACGGUGGAGUCCGGUUUUGGUGUGAUUAGGCAGGUACAGUGGGCGUCGAGUGCUUCCAGGAUCUGUGGCGGCGCGCAUCUUCGGCAGGGGAUUUCCAGGGCCUGUGACGGCGUGGCUGUGGCGGUUUUGUGGCAGAUCGGUGUGGCGGCGAGGCUCUAGUGGUCUGGGAGGAUCGUUGGGGCGGCGUGGCUAUGAUGGAUUUGCGCGGAUCGUGGUGGCGGUGUGGCUAAUCAGUUUCUGUGCGAUUUCGUGAAGGAGGUCACGGCGUUGUUUGAUCGGGUAGCAUGGUCGGCGGCUGGAGGUUGGGGAUGGUGUGGUGGGCUCGGGUCAUCCUUCUACUGCUGGGCCUUGAGCUUAGCCCAAUCUCUUGGGGCUGCUUUUUGGCUCUACAUUGGGCUAGGGUGUUUGCCCUAGGCCCAUUCCUAUGUUUUUUAGGUUACCUAUUUACAAUAAUUCCCUAGUUUCAGGGACAUUCUAGGCACUUUUGUGCAUCUAAUUUUAGUAAUUGGUCUUGGUCUUGGUCUUGUCGACUUAAUUCUCAGUGUCUCUAGUUGUAUACCAAUUGAGGUCUCUAGGCGACUAGAUUUACUGGGUAUAUGUUAGGUUGGAAGGCUCUGACCCUUCUAGCGCCUUCGGCGUAGUAUCAAAGGGGGAUCCCUCUAUGUCUAGGUAUUUGAUUGUACAAUGAGUAGGUCUAUUUUCUAUGUAUCACUGUGGGUACUACUACUAUCUUCUUGUUUAUCUAGUUUGCAGCGGAAAGGUAUGUAACGGGUUAUUUUGGCUUAUGAUGAAUAUAUUUUCUCGCCCUUGGGCGCUUCAAAAAAAUAUCUAAGCAUUUGAAUUGGAAGACUAAUUUAUGCAUUUUGUAAAUGUUUCAAUG